This 253-nucleotide ribosomal RNA is filed under the name uncultured bacterium. Its description in RNAcentral is "partial 16S ribosomal RNA". It matches the Rfam family "Bacterial small subunit ribosomal RNA", at positions 524 to 776 of the family's 1533-position model. The record is from RNAcentral.
GACAGAGGGUGCAAACGUUGUUCGGAAUUACUGGGCGUAAAGCGUGUGUAGGCGGUCUGCUAAGUCGGGUGUGAAGGCCCCGGGCUCAACCCGGGAAGUGCACUCGAAACUGGCAGGCUAGAGUACUGGAGAGGUUGGUGGAAUUCUCGGUGUAGAGGUGAAAUUCGUAGAUAUCGAGAGGAACACCGGUGGCGAAGGCGGCCAACUGGACAGAUACUGACGCUGAGACACGAAAGCGUGGGGAGCAAACAGG